Small nuclear RNA from Ochotona princeps (American pika), 107 nucleotides. NCBI's taxonomy places the organism in Eukaryota, Metazoa, Chordata, Mammalia, Lagomorpha, Ochotonidae. The record is from Ensembl.
AUGCUCGCUUCGGCAGCACAUACACUAAAAUUGGAAUGAUACAGAGAAGAUUAGCAUGGCCCCUGCUCAAGGAUGACAUGCAAAUUCAUGAAGCAUUCCAUAUUAAA